AUUUCCCUAGUAACGGCGAGUGAAGAGGAAAGAGCUCAAANNNGGAAACUGUUUGGCUUAGCUAAACCGUAUUGUAAACUGUAGAAACAUUUUCCUGGCACGCCGGAUUAAUAAGUCCUUUGGAACAAGGCAUCAUGGAGGGUGAGAAUCCCGUCUUUGAUCCGAGUAGUUGUCUUUUGUGAUAUGUUUUCAAAGAGUCAGGUUGUUUGGGAAUGCAGCCUAAAUUGGGUGGUAAAUCUCACCUAAAGCUAAAUAUUUGCGAGAGACCGAUAGCGAACAAGUACCGUGAGGGAAAGAUGAAAAGAACUUUGAAAAGAGAGUUAAACAGUAUGUGAAAUUGUUAAAAGGGAACCGUUUGGAGCCAGACUGGUUUGACUGUAAUCAACCUAGAAUUCGUUCUGGGUGCACUUGCAGUCUAUACCUGCCAACAACAGUUUGAUUUGGAGGAAAAAAUUAGUAGGAAUGUAGCCUCUCGAGGUGUUAUAGCCUACUAUCAUACUCUGGAUUGGACUGAGGAACGCAGCGAAUGCCNUUAGGCGAGAUUGCUGGGUGCUUUCGCUAAUAAAUGUUAGAAUUUCUGCUUCGGGUGGUGCUAAUGUUUAAAGGAGGAACACAUCUAGUAUAUUUUUUAUUCGCUUAGGUUGUUGGCUUAAUGACUCUAAAUGACCCGUCUUGAAACACGGACCAAGGAGUCCACCAUAAGUGCAAGUAUUUGAGUGACAAACUCAUAUGCGUAAGGAAACUGAUUGAUACGAAAUCUUUUGAUGGCAGUAUCACCCGGCGUUGACGUUUUAUACUGAACUGACCGAGGUAAAGCACUUAUGAUGGGACCCGAAAGAUGGUGAACUAUGCCUGAAUAGGGUGAAGCCAGAGGAAACUCUGGUGGAGGCUCGUAGCGAUUCUGACGUGCAAAUCGAUCGUCAAAUUUGGGUAUAGGGGCGAAAGACUAAUCGANCCAUCUAGU
Molecule: ribosomal RNA, 964 nt
Filed under: Mucor circinelloides
Lineage: Eukaryota; Fungi; Mucoromycota; Mucoromycetes; Mucorales; Mucoraceae
Description: LSU rRNA
Rfam family: Eukaryotic large subunit ribosomal RNA
Source: RNAcentral